UUUAUACUCCCUCCGUCCGAAAAUACUUGUCAUCAAAAUGGAUAAAAAGAGAUGUAUCUAAAACUAAAAUACGUCUAGAUACAUUUCCUUUUAUCCAUUUUGAUGACAAGUAUUUCCGGACGGAGGAAGUAUUUG
Non-coding RNA from Triticum aestivum (bread wheat), 135 nucleotides. NCBI's taxonomy places the organism in Eukaryota, Viridiplantae, Streptophyta, Magnoliopsida, Poales, Poaceae. The record is from Rfam.